This 85-nucleotide transfer RNA is filed under the name Parasitella parasitica. It matches the Rfam family "tRNA". Rfam says of the family: Transfer RNA (tRNA) molecules are approximately 80 nucleotides in length. Lineage: Eukaryota; Fungi; Mucoromycota; Mucoromycetes; Mucorales; Mucoraceae. The record is from Rfam by way of RNAcentral.
CCGGUCUUAGCUCAGUUGGCCAGAGCGGGAGACUGUAGUGAAAAUUGACAUCUCUAGGUCACUAGUUCGAAUCUGGUAGACCGGA